UGGCGUAGGCUAACUGAUCUAGCACCCUUAACCGUAACCACUGCACCAUCUGCCAAUACUACUUUCUUCAAGACGCCAGCAUCCACAUCGUGCGGCAACGAAAUGCGCAUAUCCUUAGCAUCCUGAAUCCAGAUCUCCAUGGGUCCAGCAAGCUGAAACGGAGCCAGAACAGGCAACCCAUUGUCCGGCUUUACACUCUGCUUAACUAUCCCAUUCUCAUCACCACGGCUAACUGGUCUUCCUUCCUCAACUCUAAAAAUGGGCAAAUCCACAUACUCCCAUCGAUUCUCAUCCUCCAACAACUUGAACGGCAGCACCUGGUUAUCUAUUUCAAUGUCGAAUUCGUAAGCCACCGACCGGCCCACCAACACAUCUCUCAUAUCAAAUCCCGAAAUCUUAAAAUCAUCCGCCUGAAACCCUAACCCCUUCACAAUCGCCUCCUUCAAAUCCGACAUGGCUUUGGGAUACGAUGUCGGCGGCGGAGAACGAAAGUCGGAGGUAGAGAGAAGAGCGGCAGAGGAGGACAAAGUCGUAAAUACGACGAAGACCAGUGUCAGCAAAGAAAGCGAGACCUUACAAGCCAUUGUGAUCACGAAAGGAAUGAAU
RNAcentral lists this unclassified non-coding RNA (606 nucleotides) under Hevea brasiliensis (rubber tree). Lineage: Eukaryota; Viridiplantae; Streptophyta; Magnoliopsida; Malpighiales; Euphorbiaceae. The record is from RNAcentral.